This is a transfer RNA of 88 nucleotides. It matches the Rfam family "tRNA". Rfam says of the family: Transfer RNA (tRNA) molecules are approximately 80 nucleotides in length. Their secondary structure includes four short double-helical elements and three loops (D, anti-codon, and T loops). The record is from Rfam.
GGGCACAUGGUGUAGUUGGUUAUCACAUCCGCUUAGCAUUUAUUUGCUCAACUGCGGGGGGUGCUGGGUUCAAUUCCCAGUGUGUCCA